GGUGGUCGACAAAAACUUUUACCGGAAUUAAGUUAGGUUCACAAGAGUGAUUGAUGAAGCGGGCUAUAUUGCCAUAACGGCGGGCGUCGAUGCAGUAAGUUUCUCCGUCCUAUUAACAAAUAUUAAUAGAUCGAAAAGAUAUGAAUCAUCCUCACGUUGAUCAGCUUCAAAGUCUGUGAUGAUUUCGCCAAUGUAUCUACGAGAUGAGAUAAACAAAUUAUUAUCUACGUAAAUCACGACAAAGUUCGGGUACACUUACUCGCAGACGUAGGAUCCCCUAGGAAUGGGUUGAGCUGUUCGGACGCCCCAACCUUUGUUUUCGAUGCGGAAAAGAACUAAACGCGAGAUCGAAACGCCCGCCUCUAUGUAUCAGGAGCAAGGCGCAUUCACAGUUAUCUCGACGACUUGCCGUGUGCCUUUAAUUGCAUAAUGUAACGAUAAAGAAAUCAACUCAUCCUGAAAAUGAAGCAAAAAUCAACUUACAGUGGAGUGUCGCCAUGAACGUUGGCAGCAUUCACUUCACAUCCUUGGUCAAGUAGAAGGGCUACAAUAUCAACGGAUCCAGAGAAAGCAGCCCAGUGCAAAGCAACGUUCUGCUCUGCGUCUCGCACAUUAGGAUUCGCCUUACAUUGAAACUAGUGGUGUCCAUCCUCCAUCGUCUUGAGCGUUGAUGAAAUUUUUGCCAUUUCCGAUUGUCAUGAUGUAAUGGCAAGCUUCUAGAUUGCC
Long non-coding RNA from Daphnia pulicaria, 726 nucleotides. RefSeq lists it as uncharacterized. The record is from RefSeq and is a predicted model, not a curated record. Lineage: Eukaryota; Metazoa; Arthropoda; Branchiopoda; Diplostraca; Daphniidae. The transcript has 4 exons.